UGAUUUUUCGUUUAGGCUGAUUGUGUGGACGAAUAUGGACCAUCCAUCGCGAUCAACCCCAUUCGUCCGAUCGCACCUGAAGAGGAAAUGUAUUUGGGCCAUCCGUGCGCACGAGAUAUGAUCUAGACCGUCGGAUCGCAUACAUGGUGCCAAUGUCAGCGUAUUUGCCACGCAGCGUGCUCUGGUUCGUUAUGACUGCUGACUGGACUGUUUCACGU
RNAcentral lists this long non-coding RNA (218 nucleotides) under Carica papaya (papaya). RNAcentral's name for it is "long non-coding RNA (CPAP_LNC003497)". The record is from RNAcentral. Lineage: Eukaryota; Viridiplantae; Streptophyta; Magnoliopsida; Brassicales; Caricaceae.